Phyllopteryx taeniolatus (common seadragon) is the source of this 362-nucleotide long non-coding RNA. RefSeq lists it as uncharacterized. Lineage: Eukaryota; Metazoa; Chordata; Actinopteri; Syngnathiformes; Syngnathidae. The transcript has 3 exons. The record is from RefSeq and is a predicted model, not a curated record.
GACACAGCUGUUUCUAAUGGCAACGUAGCAAGGACGCCAGGUGUGACGCGGAGCUCCAUUCGUUGCUGCCGACUAACGGCACAAGCAGAAGCAUGCAGUUCAGAAGAACAGAGUGUUGUCUCCAAGUCGAACAGCACCUGCCCUGUGAAGAGGAUCAGGGCGGUUUUGACGCAAAGUUGUGGGACACGUGGACGGCUCUGCGCAACGAUGACAACCUGCUUUUGGACAGGUGUGUUUACCGUUUUAAUGCAGAGGACGCCAUAUCGUGCGCUUGAGGAGGUGUGCUUUGACUUCUGCUUCUUGUACUGCACAACGCUGACACAAGAACAUCAUUCAAAGCUUCUGAACAUGCUUUAACUUGA